AGAUGGGAGGGCAAUCUGGCUGCGACAUCUGUCACCCCAUUGAUCGCCAGGGUUGAUUCGGCUGAUCUGGCUGGCUAGGAGGAUGUCCCCUUCCUCCCUCAAGGAUCCAUGUGUGUCCCUCCCAAAGCUACGCGCUUGGUCCAAGAGAACAAACACUCCCGAUAGAGGAGGACCUUCCUCGGUCAAGGGUAUACGAGUAGCUGUGCUCCCCUGCUAGAACCUCCAAACAAGCUCUCAAAAAUAGUAGCCAGCUCCUUCAAUAUAGUCAGAUGUAUACAAGGAACACUGAGAAAUUUUAAGAAAUAUAUUGCUUGUAUUUUGGGACAGGGUAGAACAGGAU
Cavia porcellus (domestic guinea pig) is the source of this 340-nucleotide unclassified non-coding RNA. Its record names the gene 7SK. It matches the Rfam family "7SK RNA". From Rfam's summary of the family: 7SK was discovered as an abundant small nuclear RNA in the mid-70s but a possible function has only recently been suggested. Lineage: Eukaryota; Metazoa; Chordata; Mammalia; Rodentia; Caviidae. The record is from Ensembl.